AUGAACGCUGGCGGCGUGCCUAAUACAUGCAAGUCGCGCGAACGGACGAGAAGCUUGCUUCUCUAAUGUUAGCGGCGGACGGGUGAGUAACACGUGGAUAACCUACCUAUAAGACUGGGAUAACUUCGGGAAACCGUAGCUAAUACCGGAUAAUAUUUUGAACCGCAUGGUUCAAAAGUGAAAGACGGUCUUGCUGUCACUUAUAGAUGGAUCUGCGCUGCAUUAGCUAGUUGGUAAGGUAACGGCUUACCAAGGCAACGAUGCAUAGCCGACCUGAGAGGGUGAUCGGCCACACUGGAACUGAGACACGGUCCAGACUCCUACGGGAGGCAGCAGUAGGGAAUCUUCCGCAAUGGGCGAAAGCCUGACGGAGCAACGCCGCGUGAGUGAUGAAGGUCUUCGGAUCGUAAAACUCUGUUAUUAGGGAAGAACAUAUGUGUAAGUAACUGUGCACAUCUUGACGGUACCUAAUCAGAAAGCCACGGCUAACUACGU
RNAcentral lists this ribosomal RNA (495 nucleotides) under uncultured bacterium. Its description in RNAcentral is "partial 16S ribosomal RNA". It matches the Rfam family "Bacterial small subunit ribosomal RNA", at positions 29 to 506 of the family's 1533-position model. The record is from RNAcentral.